GAUAAAAUGAAUUUGAAUUGCUAUUGGAAAAAAUCAGGAAUUGUAUGAGAUUUGCAAGAGCUAGUUUCUUAAACGGAAAUUGAGUCCUAUUUUGUGGGAAAUUAGUUUUGCAGACUUUCUAAAAAAAAAAAUCUAAAACUUUUGUUCAGCAGCUGCUCCACUUUUCCCUGCAGUUUCAGACUGAGCUGGAACCUGCAGCAGUCUUUCGACGAGAUCAUAUAAAAUUGACCCGAAUGAACCAGCGCACAAUUUCUCCGCUUCAGGACUUUUGUAGUCGGUAUUUCACUUUGGACGCUAAAAGCACCAUCUUCCUGACUAUUUAUCAGAAUUUUCCAAGCUCAAGAAAUAUUCUAAAUAGAGGAGAAAGCUUAACAUAUGCCAAACAUUGGCAGAAGAAACUACGAGGAAGCAGAGAAAAGACCAAAUGAUGUAAAUGAUAAAAGCUUUCUGGAAAAGAAUGUUGAAGUGGCUGCCUACUUGAAGAAAUAUUCAAUUUUAACACUAUCCUUUUUUUCUGAAGUCAUAAAAUGUCUGUAUGCAGAGCAGCUUGCAGAAGCCACAGUUUGCACAAAGAACACAAAUGAAGGCAGGAGAAGAAGAUACCAGGCUGGCAGUGAUCCCAAGCUCCUCACACGCUGAUGUUCAGGACAGCACAUGUGGGUGCCACAUGAGCAGGUGAAACUGUGAUCCUACAUGUGUGGAAGGGAGGAUAGUAAUUAAACAAUCAGAUGUGCUAAGUGUAUCAUGCUGGGACAUCGCUACAUUUCAGACAGGUUGUGAGGUUUGAAACCUAAGGUGAUAACUCAGGAAGCAGCCAAGUUAAAGCUGUAAUCGUAAGUUUUUCCUCACAGUCUCUGGAGUGCCACAGCACCAGUCCUGUCCUGAUACACUCCCCAGUGGCGUUUCAGUGGCGUUUCAGCCUAAGGAAACCAUUAGUCAUCCUUCAGCCAUUAAGACAGUAAGAUUUUUGUUCUGGAUACUCUCCUGAAUGGCUUUACAAACUGUGGCCCUUCCCAGAGACAUUCCCUGCCACCGCCCAUUCCUGAGGUUGGUGACUUGCCCCUUGCAACAAGGUGAGCCUAGAAGGCCAGGGCCUGGGCCUGGAGGGCUUGGCACUCUGCCCUCUGCUGGCUGCCUGCCAGGCCAGCCCUGCAGUACCGCAACUCCCAACGGCAUUGGAUGUAGGGGAUAACGGCAAUGGAAGGGCUCAAGGUGAGGAGUUAUUUCCUUCUAAUUUUAAUUGUGGCUACUAAACUCCAAAUAUAAUGAAAAGAGAUGUAAUGAAUCACAAGUAGUUAAAAUCUGCCUUUGCUUUACAAGCAGUUAGUUGAAAGAUUUUGUUCCACUCCAGUAUGGCCUUCUACAUCCUGAUUUGUCCUUCCAUUUUAACUGAUAAUAUUUACCUAGCAGGUUUUUAAAAUGAAAUACAAUUACAUUAAAAAAACAAUCAUUAGUAGUAUUUCUUUUGAGGUAGAGGCUAUACUAUCAGGAGAACAUGGGUUUAGACUUUGCACUGCAACUGAACUAUUAACCUGAACUUCACGGACAUGCUACACCAAAUAGCCAUACAUUUGUUCAGCUGGUUCUGGCCUUUUUUAAAGCAAAACCCAGGGAAAUUUCUCAAGAAGAGAUACAGCAGAGGGUCACAGAGGGCACCUGCCCCUCCGCUCCCAGCCCUGACCUGAGGAGCACCAUGGGGCCCCAUUGUUUCUCCUGUCCAACACUACAUGCUUGCAGGGUGUUUAGCACCACUGCCCUGAUCUCUUGCAUUGCUUCUGAGAACUGCAGUCUCACAAGCAAUAAAUGCCCAUCAGUGAAUAUUUCACUCCACUGUCUCCUGCUGAAUACAAAGCAGCUUGUAGCUUUGCCUCUCAUGAUAGAAACCCUGCGUAGCAGGAGCCCAAGAUAUUUCACAGACCACCUGCCUUUUCUUAACCAUGUGUAGAAUUGCCUACCAGGAAUCUUGAUGUGUUUUAUAUGUUCUUAAUAAAGUUAACAUUUCUAUUAAAUACUGCUCUCUUCUGGGAUUCUCAUCGAACCUUAAGCAUAAUAAUCAAGAAAAAAAACUUUCUGUCACAUUAUUAAAUGUUCAAUUGCUACAAUAUAGAAGACUUUGGUAGCAUAAUGCCACACUGGCAUCUUUCCAGUGUGGGAAAUUUUUUCCACAGAUUUUUUUUUUUUUUCAAGUCAAUUUAUUGCAAAACAGUUGCUUUCUGUAAUAUCACAGAUUUAUCCAGAGUUUACAAUGCAAUCAUUGCUCCUUGCUAUUGGAAAUGAUUUAUUUAGCCAGUUUUGGCCUUCAUUCCAAAAGGCUGACUGCCAAAUCAUUACACUGUAUCUGGUGUUCUGUUGUCAGAAAAUAUGAUCUAGCAUUAAGAUACUACUCAGAGACUCUAAAAGCCAGAGAAAAUAAUUGUGGUAAAUCAAAACCUCAUAAAUACUUUAUAUAGUUGUUUUUAAUGUCUGUCCUUAUGUGUGACAAAAAAGUACCAGUUUACAUGCAAUGAGAAUACAUGCGUUUGGAGGCUUCAUUUCCUAUAUCGUCUAAGUUUUUAAACAACAUUAAAGUCUUUCCCAUAUAAGCGCAAAAGUCAGGCAGUUGUUGUCACAUUAUAUUUUCUGGUACUACCACAUUUUAAUAAGCCAGAAGUCAGCAAACUGCUUUUCUAGACUUAACACUAAACAACAUUUUUU
Molecule: long non-coding RNA, 2694 nt
Organism: Oxyura jamaicensis (ruddy duck)
Lineage: Eukaryota; Metazoa; Chordata; Aves; Anseriformes; Anatidae
Exons: 4
Source: RefSeq, a predicted model, not a curated record